This 459-nucleotide ribosomal RNA is filed under the name uncultured Streptococcus sp. RNAcentral's name for it is "partial 16S ribosomal RNA". It matches the Rfam family "Bacterial small subunit ribosomal RNA", at positions 341 to 792 of the family's 1533-position model. Lineage: Bacteria; Bacillati; Bacillota; Bacilli; Lactobacillales; Streptococcaceae. The record is from RNAcentral.
ACGGAAGGCAGCAGUAGGGAAUCUUCGGCGAUGGGGGCAACCCUGACCGAGCAACGCCGCGUGAGUGAAGAAGGUUUUCGGAUCGUAAAGCUCUGUUGUAAGAGAAGAACGUGUGUGAGAGUGGAAAGUUCACACAGUGACGGUAACUUACCAGAAAGGGACGGCUAACUACGUGCCAGCAGCCGCGGUAAUACGUAGGUCCCGAGCGUUGUCCGGAUUUAUUGGGCGUAAAGCGAGCGCAGGCGGUUUAAUAAGUCUGGAGUUAAAGGCAGUGGCUUAACCAUUGUUCGCUUUGGAAACUGUUAGACUUGAGUGCAGAAGGGGAGAGUGGAAUUCCAUGUGUAGCGGUGAAAUGCGUAGAUAUAUGGAGGAACACCGGUGGCGAAAGCGGCUCCCUGGUCUGUAACUGACGCUGAGGCUCGAAAGCGUGGGGAGCAAACAGGAUUAGAUACCCUGGUA